AUUACUUUGUAUUUCUCUUGCAACAAACUUUUACUAUUUUGCAUUUUUUGCUGGUUUUAAUGUCAAAUUGCAUAAUGCUAAUAAAGCAUUUGGAAUUUGACAAAAUGUUGUAUUUGGCUUGGCCUGUGUGCGUGACUAAGAGGUAUACAUGGUUAGUCAGGCCAUCUUUUUUUUUUGCCUUGGUCUUGAUGGAUAUUUCCAUCUGUUUGUGUCAGAAGUUUCCCAGCAUAUUGACUAAGAGGUAUACAUGGUUAGUCAGGCCAUCUUUUUUUUUUGCCUUGGUCUUGAUGGAUAUUUCCAUCUGUUUGUGUCAGAAGUUUCCCAGCAUAU
This 330-nucleotide unclassified non-coding RNA is filed under the name Hevea brasiliensis (rubber tree). Lineage: Eukaryota; Viridiplantae; Streptophyta; Magnoliopsida; Malpighiales; Euphorbiaceae. The record is from RNAcentral.